GGAUACACUGCAUAUACCUUCUAGUACGAUGAUACAGGCUAUGCAGUUGAGGGAGAAUGAAGAGGCAGAGAUUAGAAGGAACAGCAAAUUAAUGGAGAAGACAGGAAGGAAUGUCAUCAAAAGAGUUUAAUCCCAUCAAGAUCCCCAAAGAAGAAUUGGAUGCCAGUACUCUUUUUGCUUCUAACUUUCUACUCACAUCAAGU
This 203-nucleotide long non-coding RNA is filed under the name Homo sapiens (human). RNAcentral describes it as "HSALNT0271652". The record is from RNAcentral. Lineage: Eukaryota; Metazoa; Chordata; Mammalia; Primates; Hominidae.